This 592-nucleotide small RNA is filed under the name Pongo abelii (Sumatran orangutan). RNAcentral's name for it is "retained intron". Lineage: Eukaryota; Metazoa; Chordata; Mammalia; Primates; Hominidae. The record is from RNAcentral.
GCUUUGGUCUUCUCUCCAGACCCACUGCUGCUCUCAAAACAAGUGUAACUUCUAUGACAACAAAGACCCGGAAUGCGUGACAAAUCUUCAGGAAGUGGCCCGCAUCGUGGGCAACUCUGGCCUCAACAUCUACAAUCUCUAUGCCCCGUGUGCUGGAGGGGUGCCCAGCCAUUUUAGGUAGGUGCUGCUGGGUGCCCCUGGGGCCAACCCCAGCCCCAUCUGGAGGCUCCACACCCAUCCCCCCACCUCACAUGCAGGUAUGAGAAGGACACUGUUGUGGUCCAGGAUUUGGGCAACAUCUUCACUCGCCUGCCACUCAAGCGGACGUGGCAUCAGGCACUGCUGCGCUCAGGGGAUAAAGUACGCAUGGACCCCCCCUGCACCAACACAACAGCUGCUUCCACCUACCUCAACAACCCGUACGUGCGGAAGGCCCUCAACAUCCCAGAGCAGCUGCCGCAAUGGGACAUGUGCAAGUGAGGUUCUGUGGCCACCUGUGACUUGGGGUGGCGGGUUGCUGGGGCUUGUGGGCAUCAGCAGGUUCUCAGGGAUCUUCUGUGUAGAGUUUCUCAAUGAGAUGAGCUGUAGAGGA